Molecule: ribosomal RNA, 1767 nt
Filed under: Triticum aestivum (bread wheat)
Lineage: Eukaryota; Viridiplantae; Streptophyta; Magnoliopsida; Poales; Poaceae
Description: partial small subunit ribosomal RNA
Source: RNAcentral
AUGCGGCGGCCACGCCGAGCGGGGAAGCCCGGGGGCGGCGGCGGGUGCGGGGGGAAGGCGGCGCCGGGGGCCGAGGAUGCUGAAGGGGGCCCCGUGAUCGCCGUCGGCGGGGAGGGCGACCCGUCGGUGCCAGGGAUCCCGGUGGCUGGGGAUGGCGGCGGGGAGAAGGCGCCGCUGGGGACGGCCGUCGCGGUUGCCCUGAAGAGCGCCGAGGGGGUGCCGGUGAUCGCCGUCGUCAGUGAUGUGGAGCCGGCGGUGCUAGGGGUUCCGGUGGCCGCGGCGGCUGGGGGCGGUGACGGCGGGGAGAAGGCGCCACUGGGGGCGGAGGUCGCGGCGGCCGUGAAGGGCGCCAAGGGGGCGCCGGUGGUCGCCGUCGGCGGGGAGGCCGAGGCCCCCGUGCAAGGGGAUCCGGCGGCCCCCGCCGCUGAUCGGAAGGCCGAUGCGCCAGCGGCGAAAGGAGUGGCGGAGAAGGAUGACGAGGGGGUGAGGUGGCUCAAGCACUACUCGUCGAUGCAGAGCAUACUCGUCGUCGGCGACGGGGAUUUCUCCUUCUCGCUGGCGCUCGCCACCGCGUUCGGCUCCGGCGAGCACAUCGUCGCCACGUCCCUCGACUCCUACGACACUUUAAAGAAGAAGUAUGGCAAUGCUGAGGCAAACAUAACAGAGCUGAAAAGGUUGGACUGUACAGUUUUGCAUGGUGUUGAUGCAAAACUGAUGAAGCUUUACCCUUCUCUGAAGAUGAGACGGUUCGAUCGGAUCGUCUUUAAUUUUCCUCAUGCUGGGUUCAACGGAAAAGAGGAUAACCCGCUAGUCAUCAACUUGCAUAAGCAGCUGGUAAAUGGGUUUUUUGCCAAUGCACAACACCUGCUUCGGCCCUUUGGUGAAAUCCACCUUAGCCACAAGACAGGAUAUCCUUACGACGCAUGGGAUAUCGAGCAACUAGCCAAUGAGUCUUGUCUUAUUAUGUUUGCUAAAGAUAUUUUCUGCAAAGAGGAGUACCCUGGUUAUAACCAAAAGAGAGGAGAUGGUGCAAAGUGCGAUCAAUCUUUUGCUCUAGGUCCUUGCUACACGUUUAAGUUCUGCAUCGGAGACGUAAAGAAACUGAAGAAAGCACGUGGAAACGUUGGUUCAGUCUCAUCCCUUGGAGGCAGCAAAUUCUAUCCUGGCAUCUUAGCAACUGACACGAGGCCAUUUGAUUUGCAUCCACUUGCUCCAGCAUGGCCUCGGCCACACUUUCCUCCAGCCAACAGAGUUGACAUGCCAAUCAUGUUUGAUCCUUACCCCUUUGGAGGUCCUCCAAUGGAACGUCCAGGUUUGCCACUCAACUUCUAUGGCCCAGAGAGAGCUCCUUACUUUCAUCACCAGGACAUGAUCCAGCCACUGUGCAGAGGGCCACCGCUGCAUGUUUUGCCCAACCAAGGCAGCUUUCAUCCACCAAUGGACAUGAUCCAGCCACUGUGCAGAGGGCCACCGCUGCAUGUUUUGCCCAGCCAAGGCGGCGAGUUUCAUCCACCAAUGCCCCGCCUCGUGCAUCCAGAGCAGCCUUGGCACCAAGAGAGGCCUCCAGUUGUGCCACCAUGGAGAAGCAACGACUACUACUCAGGAGAAUACCAGAGGAGUCUGCAGCGGGAGUAUGAGAUUGAGAGGCAACUGAUGCCUGGAGGAGCCAGCCUGGGUUACUCUGAUUUCCUUGAGAAUCGCUACAGGGAGUCGGAUCAGAGGCGGGGGAGGCUGGAAAUGCUGAUUCAGUUCUACGGUGGGCGGUGA